CUCUCUUUUCUUGUUCUUUUCUUUUUUUGAGGUCAAAUGUCUAGAAAGACUGAGGUCCAAGUUUCCCUGAUGAGACCGGGGCUGGCAAGGAGAGGAGCACAGAGUGGACUAAGCCUCUUCUACCUGGGUUCAGGAGUCUGCCUUGGGGGAAUUCUGACCACAGCUUUGGAGGGGGUGCACAAGUGCUUGUGAUUAUGAGCAUGCCCUUGGGGCUUAAUGGAGCAAGCCAGGAGCCAACAGGCACAGUAGGAUCCCUGAGGAGAGUUCUCUUGCUAUUUUAAUCUAGGUGUGGAAACUCAUUCACAGCCUCAGUUUCCCCAUCUGCAGAAGGACAGACCAUGCCGGGCAAGCAGGCUUUGCACCACACGGGAUAUUUCUAGCAUGGAGAAGGCGUGGCCCUGUCUCAUCACCCACUGCUCUGGUUAUGGCUGUCCUUUCCAGCCACCAGCUCUGUCUCAUCUUGCCUCACCCUGUUCUGCUACAUCAUAAUUGCUUCAAAAUUCUAUAUGUUAAUGUCUGUCCCGUGAUGGGUGAGGAAUAGAGUGUCAGUGUGAGAUAGAAGUCUACCUGAAGGAGCUAUAGAAAUGGGAGGCAAGCAGCUGGGCUGCCAGAGAAGGAUUUUGGGGGAAAAGGUGCAGAUUGCCUUGGUGGCCUUGCGUCACCAGAGAGUCACUGAUCUUUGGAGAAAGAGGCAAGGUUGAGACAGGUACAUCUUGGAACCACAAAAUCCCAGAGGCGUAGUAAAGACCAGCCUCUUCAGUCCAGAGGACAGCACAAGGCAGGGUAGCAGACAGCCUGGGGCCUCACCCUGCUCCUUUCCCAGUCUCCUAGGUAACACUCAGAGAUCACUGUUCUCACUCUUGGGGUAUACUACACACUACCCAUGCCUCAAGCGUCUCUGUGUAGCCCGUUCCACAGAUGGAGAAGGUGAGAUCAGGUAUGCCUGUAAAUGUGGCUGGAAUCUUCUACUCAGAGCAAGGCAGGGUAAGCACAGGUGGCAGAUUCUUGUUUUCUCUUGUCUUCAUGCCUCAGGAGAGUGGAACCCACCUCUCUCCCUCUUCCUCUCCGCCCCCCCCCCCUUGGGUGCCCUUGUCUCACUUUGGGGCAUGAAGUCUUGGCUUUAUUUAGUAUUUCCUCCCUCCCAGCCAAGAGCCCAAGUGUAUCUUGUGUGCCCAUCCAUAUCAGAGGGCAUCAAGAGGAGGGUCUCAGCCCGUACCCAGUGUGCCACAAAGGAGAAGCUCUCUGCUGACUUCCAUCUUAAUUCUGAGAGCUACCUGUCAAGGUCACCCGUCCGCAGCCUGGUCAUAGAGGAAACUCUAUCUACAGGGUCCUUCAGCUACAGGAACUAGAGGGGGCCACAGAGGACAAUCCUUAAUUGUAUCCACAGUGGUGAUAACCACACUUAGCUGUGUUGACAUCACUACGGUGGUGCUAACCACACACUUUAUGAACUUUGUCUCACUGAACCUCCAUGGCAGCCAUGGACAGCUGUCUUUGCCAUCAGUAGACAUGGAACCCGACACCCAAGUUCAUCUACUCACCAUGGCUUACAGGGUUCUUCUCUUGGAAGACCAGAGACCUGACCGGAGAAGUCUGAGUCUGCUGCUGGCUCCUCUGCAGGCCUCUUGGCCACAUCUUCAUAAUUCAUACUCCUGGCCUGACUACCAUUCUCACAUCAUGGUCUUGCCUCACGCCAAGAAGAGUGCCAUCCUGGUCCCUGAUCCUUGUGCAGAUUCAUCCCAAGUGGGUCUUCCUUACCACUGUGGCCUGAAUAGCUUAGUCCUGGAAACCUGACUGGAAGGACAAAGAAAUGAAGAAAGGACAGACACAUGUAUAGAGAAGCUGGGAUCAGGAGGGCCAUGCUUGCUCUGAUGGACCAGUACCAGCUACUCAACACCCCGGACCAUCAGUGUGUCUAUUAUGUAUAGCAGGAGGAGCGGUAUUUCAUCUGUUUCUUCAGCUUGGGUCACACGCAUGUGUUUGUGUAUGAGCAUUAUAUGUGUGUGUGUGUGUGUGUGUGUAUGCAUGCACACACUUGUGAGUGUGCAUAUGGAGGCUUGAACAUCUGGGUUUAAACUAGACUCCAGUGCUUAUAAACUGUGUAUCUUUCCUCCA
This is a long non-coding RNA of Mastomys coucha (southern multimammate mouse), 2115 nucleotides long. RefSeq lists it as uncharacterized. The record is from RefSeq and is a predicted model, not a curated record. NCBI's taxonomy places the organism in Eukaryota, Metazoa, Chordata, Mammalia, Rodentia, Muridae. The transcript has 2 exons.